RNAcentral lists this long non-coding RNA (348 nucleotides) under Gallus gallus (chicken). Lineage: Eukaryota; Metazoa; Chordata; Aves; Galliformes; Phasianidae. The record is from RNAcentral.
GAGAGUGGAAUGUUGUGCAGAAGGUGAACAGUAUUUGUGACUGAAGGUUGCUACCAAACUCAUUUCCCAUUGCUUACCAAUGGGCUGUGCAACUCCAAAUUUUAGCUAGUAAGUCCAAUACCUUCUCAGGUGUUUGCUGUCAGGAAGAUGUCUCUAAACAGUACCUCUCAUUGCCUCACACUUCACCCCGUGGCAUUUGCUCAUUUUCACAGGAGUGGUGUCAAUGGAAUGCUGCAAUUUGACGGCUACCUCCACUCAUCACUGAGGCAAUCCUGUGUUUGUUAUAUUUCCACACAAAGGAAAGAAGAAAAGUAUCUGCUGGAAGCCGUGUCAUAUGUUGAAAGUUUU